GAUGAAGAACGUAGCGAAAUGCGAUAAGUAGUGUGAAUUGCAGAAUUCAGUGAAUCAUCGAAUCUUUGAACGCACAUUGCGCCCCUUGGUAUUCCAUGGGGCAUGCCUGUUCGAGCGUCAUUUGUACCCUCAAGCUCUGCUUGGUGUUGGGUGUUUGUCCUCUCCUCUGCGUUUGGACUCGCCUUAAAGCAAUUGGCAGCCAGUGUUUUGGUAUUGAAGCGCAGCACAUUUUGCGAUUCUAGCCGAUAAUACUUGCGUCCAUAAGCCUUUUUUAACUUUUGACCUCGGAUCAGGUAGGGAUACCCGCUGAACUUAAGCAUAUCAAUAAGCGGAGGA
This 336-nucleotide unclassified non-coding RNA is filed under the name soil metagenome. RNAcentral describes it as "partial contains 5.8S ribosomal RNA, internal transcribed spacer 2, and large subunit ribosomal RNA". The stretch from base 1 to 120 matches the Rfam family "5.8S ribosomal RNA", at positions 35 to 154 of the family's 154-position model. The record is from RNAcentral.